UACGAAGGGGGCGAGCGUUGUUCGGAUUUACUGGGCGUAAAGGGCGCGCAGGCGGCUAUCCAAGUCAGGCGUGAAAGCCCCGGGCUCAACCUGGGAACCGCGCUUGAGACUGGCACGCUCGAGUUCGGGAGAGGAUGGUGGAAUUCCCAGUGUAGAGGUGAAAUUCGUAGAUAUUGGGAAGAACACCGAUGGCGAAGGCAGCCAUCUGGACCGACACUGACGCUGAGGCGCGAAAGCGUGGGGAGCAAGCAGG
Molecule: ribosomal RNA, 253 nt
Filed under: uncultured bacterium
Lineage: Bacteria
Description: partial 16S ribosomal RNA
Rfam family: Bacterial small subunit ribosomal RNA
Source: RNAcentral